Molecule: ribosomal RNA, 492 nt
Filed under: uncultured bacterium
Lineage: Bacteria
Description: partial 16S ribosomal RNA
Rfam family: Bacterial small subunit ribosomal RNA
Source: RNAcentral
AGUGAACGCUGGCGGUAGGCCUAACACAUGCAAGUCGAACGGCAGCACAGUAAGAGCUUGCUCUUACGGGUGGCGAGUGGCGGACGGGUGAGGAAUACAUCGGAAUCUACUUUUUCGUGGGGGAUAACGUAGGGAAACUUACGCUAAUACCGCAUACGACCUACGGGAGAAAGCAGGGGAUCUUCGGACCUUGCGCGAUUGAAUGAGCCGAUGUCGGAUUAGCUAGUUGGCGGGGUAAAGGCCCACCAAGGCGACGAUCCGUAGCUGGUCUGAGAGGAUGAUCAGCCACACUGGAACUGAGACACGGUCCAGACUCCUACGGGAGGCAGCAGUGGGGAAUAUUGGACAAUGGGCGCAAGCCUGAUCCAGCCAUACCGCGUGGGUGAAGAAGGCCUUCGGGUUGUAAGGCCCUUUUGUUGGGAAAGAAAAGCAGCAGGUUAAUACCCCGCUGUUCUGACGGUACCCAAAGAAUAAGCACCGGCUAACUUCGUG